Non-coding RNA from Loxodonta africana (African savanna elephant), 72 nucleotides. Lineage: Eukaryota; Metazoa; Chordata; Mammalia; Proboscidea; Elephantidae. The record is from Rfam.
GCAGUGGUGGUUCAAUGGUAGAAUUCUCGCCUUCCAUGAGGGAGACCUGGGUUUGAUUCCUGGCCAUGUGCC